RNAcentral lists this ribosomal RNA (53 nucleotides) under Alternaria tenuissima. RNAcentral's name for it is "partial 28S ribosomal RNA". Lineage: Eukaryota; Fungi; Ascomycota; Dothideomycetes; Pleosporales; Pleosporaceae. The record is from RNAcentral.
UCCAUUAAGCCUUUUUUUCAACUUUGACCUCGGAUCAGGUAGGGAUUCCCAAA